CCGGUGGCGGAUGGGCAUGCGGCGCAUUAGCUAGUCGGCGGGGUAACGGCCCACCGAGGCGACGAUGCGUAGGGGUUCUGAGAGGAAGGUCCCCCACACUGGUACUGAGACACGGACCAGACUCCUACGGGAGGCAGCAGUGAGGAAUAUUGGUCAAUGGGCGCGAGCCUGAACCAGCCAAGUCGCGUGAGGGAUGACGGUCCUACGGAUUGUAAACCUCUUUUGCCGGGGAGCAAGCGUGCGUUCGUGAACGCGCGUCGAGAGUACCCGGAGAAAAAGCAUCGGCUAACUCCGUGCCAGCAGCCGCGGUAAUACGGAGGAUGCGAGCGUUAUCCGGAUUUAUUGGGUUUAAAGGGUGCGUAGGCGGGAUGCCAAGUCAGCGGUAAAAAUGCGGUGCUCAACGCCGUCGAGCCGUUGAAACUGGCGUUCUUGAGUGGGCGAGAAGUAUGCGGAAUGCGUGGUGUAGCGGUGAAAUGCAUAGAUAUCACGCAGAACUCCGAUUGCGAAGGCAGCAUACCGGCGCCCUACUGACGCUGAGGCACGAAAGCGUGGGUAUCGAACAGGAUUAGAUACCCUGGUAGUCCACGCAGUAAACGAUGAAUGCUAACUGUCCGGCUCGAAUGAGCGCUGG
RNAcentral lists this ribosomal RNA (631 nucleotides) under uncultured bacterium. RNAcentral describes it as "bacterial SSU rRNA". It matches the Rfam family "Bacterial small subunit ribosomal RNA", at positions 215 to 842 of the family's 1533-position model. The record is from RNAcentral.